CGUUUUUUAGUUAACCUUGAAUAUAUGAAAUAGUUGGUUCAUUGUUAAAUGUUCUUAGCCAGUCCCUUAGGUGAAGGAUGUAGAUUAUUUCGAUCUUUAUAUUAUCUUUAUAUCGAUCUUUAUAUUAAUGGGGUUUUUGGUUUUACAUAACCAAACAUUUUUGAAGUCCUCAAAUUAAUAUUGGAAAUAAUUACCAUUUCUCUGUACGUUUUAAACCGAUUGAACAUCCAAUAUAUCUAUAAAUUUUCAUGUCCAAUAUAUCUAUAAAUUGUCAUGUAACUAUCUUUGUCUGGUUCAAUACCAUUUCAUUAAGGUAUAUAAAAUGUAUGUAGAUGGCUAUUACUAUCUUAAUCUCAUGUUAUUUCAGAUAAGUCAUAUUUUAUAUUCCUAUUUCAAAUGCAAUGCCAUUAUUUGUUCAUGUUUUCAAACUCAAAAUAGUUCAAGGUUACCUGAGAUUAGUUUUUGUUCCAUUUUUAAUGGUUGUUUUUUUAUGUUAUUGCUUCUAAAAAGUUUUCCUCGAUUAUUUCUUCUUCUCUUUACUUUUGUUUACCGGUUUAUAUGAGAAAUCAAACGAAGUAUAUGUUUUUAGCCAUUUGGAAGAAAACUAACCCUCAUGUGAUGUCGUACCCACCUUGACUACCUAGGGAAGCCACCUGGACCUUAUUGCAGCUACCGCCAAGUCAAACUGGGAGUAUGUUUUGGGAACAAGCUUUUUGGGGGACAUUCCAGCUCCUUUUCGUCCUGCCACCUGGGCCUACGGGGGGGGCAUGGAGGUGCAUCAUAGUGAUGCUCAUUUUCUAGGAUGCAACCGCAACCUCGUUUGGGAACAUUUAGUGAGGAGUUUUAGUAACUAUUGGUUUUUUUUAUAUUUCAGACUAUCUGUUAAAUACACUAUGUUUUUUUUCCAGAUUUAGGUUACCUCUGUUUUUUUUUGACAUAUGUAUUUGUAUAUUAGAUGAUUUGGUUCCCAAACUUUGUAUCUACGGUAACUUCUUGUGCACAGGAAUAAGCCUAGAGAAAAUUAGGUUUUUAAUACUUUAUUAUUGCUUUGAUAUUGGUUUAUGUAAUUCGGGUAAAUUUAUUUUGUAACAUUACUUGCUUGUUUCCCAAAUAUUGUAUUUAUUCGCUUUAUUUCGUUUGUUCGGUUACUUCGUCGUUACUUUAUUUCAUUGCAUUUGCUCGGUUAAUUUAGGUCAUUUUGUCGGUAUUUUUCUUAACUUCACUUCUAUAACGUUUAUUCAUUUGUAUAUUUAAUUUUGCUUUAUUCAGUAUUGUAUUUUCUCUUAGUGAGGCUUGGGCCUAUUUAUUUGUAUUAUUUUCAUCUUCGUCGGUUUCCUUUAGUUGUACGUAGCGGGCGUACUAUAACCAUUUGGUAGAAGACUUAUGUAAUUUUGUACCCUAUAUGUUAGUAAGAGGUACUUAUAUUUAAGUUUGUAACAGAUAACAUUAUUGUUGUUAUCUUUAAAAUAUAUAUAUCUUCUUGUAUAACUUAUGUCAUUUUAGAGUCACAGCAUAAUAUGAACUUGCUUAACUCAGAGAUUGUUAAAAAUCUGGUAGUUAUUUUUAAUAAAUAUGUUUAUUUAUUUUGUAUAUCAUUUAUUUUUAUUAUUCCUUUAUGUUCAUUAUUACAGGUUUGAUAUAUUUAAUAUCUGACAGCAGUAUAAGAUACCUGGGAGAAUGAUCGAAGAUCAUUUUCAUGGCGCCCAUGAUUAGUUAGUUUUAUUUAUUUUGUUCGUUUUUAGUCAUUAUUCAUCUCCUUCCUUUUCAGUACCUUAUUCUUAUUUUAUUAUUUCAUCUUCUAGUCAUCAUUACUAUCUAUAUAGAGCUACUGUUCUUCGACAGGCAUGCAAACGAGCCGUAUCCAUCCUUGAGUGUCAAGUUGCUCUCUUGCAUCUAUAGCUAGCCAACUCUAUUCAGUUUGCCUCUGUCUCUUCCCACGUCUACUUAUUAUCCCUUCUAAUUCCCCUUUCUUCAGUACUACUGCAAAGUAGUAUUUUUUAUUUUUCCUACUUCGGCUCAACCGCUGAAGCCCCUUCAUUUUUAUUUUCAUAAGAGGCCCCAACUAGUUACCUUAGUCUUUUCUUUUCUUCUUUUUUUUUCCUUACUUCUGUUGGAGUAUAUCUUUCUUUUUACUUUCACUCCAACAGAAGUUUUCUUAUUUUUGUUACACUGGCUGCCCAAUGCGUGGUGCCAACCGUUUUAUGGUUCUAAGACAGUAGUUCUUUUAGUUCAAUUUUCUUUUAUUGGAAUUUUCUGUUUUAUUAACUUUUUGAUAUCUUUGUAUAUAUGUUAUUUCUGAUUUAUUUUUGUCUUUAAUUUUUACGAAUACUAAACAGGUAGACUUAUGCUGCUUUUGGUUUUGAUUAGUUUAUUUCGAUACCUCAUUUUUAGUUUUAGUGGUACAGCUCAUAUUUUAGUUUGAAUUUUGUAUUUUUAUUGGAAACUUAUUUGUGUAUUUAGAAUGAGUAUACAUGACUGACAUUAUGUUCUAUUAUUAUGGAUUUUUAGUCCUUCUACCAAUGGUAGUAUGUUUGCACGUACAAUUAAUUAUUGACUAUAUGCAUACAUUUUUUUCUAGUAUGGUUAUAUUUUAUACAUAACUAGAAAUCAUUUUCAGUAUUUAGGUAUUUUAUUUACUUUAUUGAUUUGAUUAUUUAUAUAUUUUGCUGGCAUUUUGAUUUGUUGGUGUGUCGCUAAUAUUUUCUCCAUAUGUAUCUUUGUCUUACAAACUUUAGAUUAUAUUUUAUAUUUGUUAUUUUUGAUAUUUGGGUUGUUUGGUAAGACAGGCACACACCACAAAGCAAUAUCAGUCCAGACAUUAGUUUCUAUACAUGAUACGUUGAAUUCGCAUGGUUCGGAUGGUUACAGAUGGUCAUCCAAACUAUUUUUCUUUAAUUGGUAGUGUUAAAUAUAACAAUUAUAAUUAUUGUAUAGUAAAGUAGUUCCAUUAUCCAUCUCAGUUUCUAGUUUUAUUAUUGUUGAUAAUAAUAUUAUAUCAAUGUGGGUACCAUAAUAUAAUGCUCAUAGAAAUCAGAUACUUUAGGUUGAGAUUUAAAUAUAAAUUCUUUAUUAGUUAGGAAACAUUGAUACUAUUUUCCUACUAAGUUAUAGAACAGUCUUCAGAAGAAGAUUACCUUAACAGUGUUGUUCAAGCUAAUCUCUUCUUCUGUUUGUCUUUAGCUUAGCUCAAUCUUUAGUAUGGUUAGAAAUUUUAGUCUGAUAUUUUUUUUGUCAUCUGAUAAUGCAGGUACCUACAUACAUUGCUUGAUUUCAUCUUUGGCUUUGUUGUUGAUGACUUUUAAUUUAUUACUUAUUAAUUUAAUUAUUAUGUAGUACUUUAUGUAUGAGUUUAACUUUUUUUUUGGUAUUAGGCAUGGUGCAUUGUAAUUAUUAUUAUGAGUCAAUGUUAUUAAUUGCUAAUCCUGUCAGUAGGAUUAUACAAUUAAUCAGAACUUCACUUGUAUUUUUGUUUAGUUUUUGCACACCUAACCCCUUAAGUUAGAAGGGUUGUUGAAUUAUUAUAUAUUUAUAUACUUAUUUGGACAGGUAAGCUCAUACAAGUAGGUACUCUUGUUUAAUAUGGAUAUUAUUAUGGAACUGUAUGUUAUGCACUACUUAUCUCAGGUUAUGUGUUAUAUUAUUUGGAAUAUUUGAUUAUUUACUAAUUUUUUUUUGAUCAUAUUUAUAUCUUAUUAUUGAAUUUGCCAUAUUGGAAAGAUGUGGUUUUUAAUUUGUUAUUGGGUUACUCUAUUAACAUUAUUUGUCUCCAAUAUCUUAAACACUUUAUAAUAAUUUAUAUCCUUCUAUCCUACACAGUAUGAUUCUGGAAUUAGUUUGGAAUUUUGAUGUAAGUAUGUAUGAAUUCUUGAGUCUUUCAUAUUUCUGCUUAGAAACUACUUAGUCUGUUGAUGCUCAAAGUUGGUGAAUACGUGGGUUCGAAAUUCAGCAACUGAUCACUGCUGUCCGGUUUUGUAAUCUAUGUCCUCAUGGCAGAGUAGGCAGAUGUCUUUUCAUCAUUACAUUUCCUAAACAUUUUUCUGUAAUCAGUUUACUUAUUUCAGUUUUUUUACAAUUUAAUAGGGAAGUAUUUAGUUCAUAUUAGGCCUUUUGCUUCAUAGUAUGUUUGUACUUUGAGUUGAUGAGUAAACAUGGAUAAAUAUCUUGCGCACUUGUUUAUAAAUCAAUGCUUAGGCCAUCCCUAUACAUAGUAGGUUCGUUAAGUCAGUAUUUGGAGUGUUUAGACAGAUGAGUUGUUCAUUUGAAUAUAUUCCCACUUCUUUUCGUAGGCAUUAGUUUUGUUAUUCAGAUUCUGGAAUACUUUAGUCAAUACACUUUAGGUAUUUAUCUUACCUUUGAUUUAGUUUGGUUACAUCUCUGUUACUUAGUCUGUUAGUAAUUUUUUUCUGACUUAUUUUGGAUUACUUAGUUCAGAUAGGUUCAUAUUACCGGAUGAGGGUGUAUGUAGACCUAAUUUAUUUAUUUUGUUCAGUAUUAGUUACCAUUGGAUCCAAUAAUUUAGUUUAUUUAGUAUUAGUAAGAAUUGGUCCAUAAAUUUGCCUGAUCGUUCUUCUUUGGAUAUACUCCUAUAUAAAUCUGGUGUCCAUUGAUAGUCCGAUUCUGGAUAAGUGUCCGAUUCUUCAUUUAUUUUGUGUAUUUAGUUGGAUAGGUUCGUAUUACCGGAUGUGGGUGUACGUAGACCUGAUCUGUUAUGUGGUUUAGUAUUGGUGUGAAUUGGUCCAUAAAUUUGCCUGGUCGUUCUUCUUUGGAUAUGCCUUUUAUGAAUCUGGUGUCCACUGAUAGUUCGACUUUGGAUUAAGUGUCCGAUUCCACAUUUAUUUUGGUUAUUGAGUUUUGGAUUCCUUUGGUAUGUUUAUUAUUGGUAUUAUUUGACAUUAGUGAGAAUUGUUCCAUAAAUCUUCCUGAUUGUUCUUCUCUGGAUAUACUAUUAUGAAUCUGGUGUCCAUUGUUAGUUCAGUUUUGGAUAAAGUGUUCAAUUCUUUACCUAUUUUAGUUACUGAUUUUUUUUAUUCACUUUGGUACAUUUACUUUUGAUAUGGUUCGAAUUGGCUCACACCUUUUCCUGGUUGUUCCGUUCUUGGAUAUACCCUUUAUAAAUCUGAUGUCCAUGGAUAGUUCAAUUUUGGUUUUAGUGCCCAAUUCGACACUCAGUUAUUAUUAUGAACUUAAGUACAAUAUUUAGUUUUGUUUUGACUUUUGAGCAAUAUAUGUUAAUAUUUGGUAGCAGAGAGUAACAUAGUAACAUUUUAGUAUGAGUUUGAGUCAUGUAUUGAUUUAUUUUUCCUUGACCAUUAGUUUAUAUUUAGAAGUAAUCUUGCGAAUCAACGUGGAUUGUUAGACUAUUGUAAAUUUAGUUGUUAAUAUUUUGAAGUUAAAAAAAAAAAAAAAAUUUUUUUUUGGUUAAAAAAUUUUUUUUCCCGAGUAGGAGGGGAUUGUAACGGUCCACCCGUUAUAUUAUCAUUUUUAGCGCUGUAAUUAUUUUUAAAAAAAUAAUUAUUUUCUCUUGACCUCCCAUUUAAAUUCUUUAAUUUAUCGUAAAGGACUUCUCAUGUGACGUCACACUGUACGGAACAUAGUUGUUGAACCGUUCCUUGUCGUUUAAUUCGUGUUCCGUGAGAGUUUGACGUUUUCCUCGCUGACUGUGGGAGGAAUGAGAGGGACUUGGCCGGUGGCUGCGAGGUUGACAGGUUGGUGUUGGUGGUUAGUACCGUAAAUGGCGGUUAAUUUCUUCGAAAUUAAUUUUUAUUUCAACUAAGUUUGGAAGUAUAGUAAAAAGUUACCACCACUUGUUUCCUGGAGUACGGGUUUCCUGGAGUAAGGAUGGGAGUACCAUCAGUGGAAGAGGAAUAAAAAAUUAACCGCCAUUUGGAAGAAAACUAACCCUCAUGUGAUGUCGUACCCACCUUGACUACCUAGGGAAGCCACCUGGACCUUAUUGCAGCUACCGCCAAGUCAAACUGGGAGUAUGUUUUGGGAACAAGCUUUUUGGGGGACAUUCCAGCUCCUUUUCGUCCUGCCACCUGGGCCUACGGGGGGGGCAUGGAGGUGCAUCAUAGUGAUGCUCAUUUUCUAGGAUGCAACCGCAACCUCGUUUGGGAACAUUUAGUGAGGAGUUUUAGUAACUAUUGGUUUUUUUUAUAUUUCAGACUAUCUGUUAAAUACACUAUGUUUUUUUUCCAGAUUUAGGUUACCUCUGUUUUUUUUUGACAUAUGUAUUUGUAUAUUAGAUGAUUUGGUUCCCAAACUUUGUAUCUACGGUAACUUCUUGUGCACAGGAAUAAGCCUAGAGAAAAUUAGGUUUUUAAUACUUUAUUAUUGCUUUGAUAUUGGUUUAUGUAAUUCGGGUAAAUUUAUUUUGUAACAUUACUUGCUUGUUUCCCAAAUAUUGUAUUUAUUCGCUUUAUUUCGUUUGUUCGGUUACUUCGUCGUUACUUUAUUUCAUUGCAUUUGCUCGGUUAAUUUAGGUCAUUUUGUCGGUAUUUUUCUUAACUUCACUUCUAUAACGUUUAUUCAUUUGUAUAUUUAAUUUUGCUUUAUUCAGUAUUGUAUUUUCUCUUAGUGAGGCUUGGGCCUAUUUAUUUGUAUUAUUUUCAUCUUCGUCGGUUUCCUUUAGUUGUACGUAGCGGGCGUACUAUAACCAUUUGGUAGAAGACUUAUGUAAUUUUGUACCCUAUAUGUUAGUAAGAGGUACUUAUAUUUAAGUUUGUAACAGAUAACAUUAUUGUUGUUAUCUUUAAAAUAUAUAUAUCUUCUUGUAUAACUUAUGUCAUUUUAGAGUCACAGCAUAAUAUGAACUUGCUUAACUCAGAGAUUGUUAAAAAUCUGGUAGUUAUUUUUAAUAAAUAUGUUUAUUUAUUUUGUA
Molecule: long non-coding RNA, 6880 nt
Organism: Diabrotica virgifera virgifera (western corn rootworm)
Lineage: Eukaryota; Metazoa; Arthropoda; Insecta; Coleoptera; Chrysomelidae
Exons: 2
Source: RefSeq, a predicted model, not a curated record